Molecule: ribosomal RNA, 253 nt
Filed under: uncultured bacterium
Lineage: Bacteria
Description: partial 16S ribosomal RNA
Rfam family: Bacterial small subunit ribosomal RNA
Source: RNAcentral
UACGUAGGGUGCAAGCGUUAAUCGGAAUUACUGGGCGUAAAGCGUGCGCAGGCGGUGAUGGAAGACAGAUGUGAAAUCCCCGGGCUCAACCCGGGAACUGCGUCCGAUACUGGAAGGCUUGAAUCCGGGAGAGGGAUGCGGAAUUCCAGGUGUAGCGGUGAAAUGCGUAGAUAUCUGGAGGAACACCGGUGGCGAAGGCGGCAUCCUGGACCGGCAUUGACGCUGAGGCGCGAAAGCGUGGGGAGCAAACAGG